UGCCCUGCUUCCUGGUUUCCCCAGAUCCUCUACUGUGGGUCUGCUUUUUGGAAGAUGCCAGCUCACGCAACACACUUGGUGAUCACCAGCUGGAGUGGGUAGAACGCUAUUUGGCUCUACCUGAAUGGGUUGCUGCCUCCCUUAAGGAACUGAGCACCAAAAGUGGAGAGGCAGUACUUCUUGUGGUGGUGGUAUCCCUUUGUCAAUGUGUCAUCUCACUAUUUUUGGUCAUGUUGCUGUGCUGUGAUGCUACUCCUGUGUCUGUCUGUGAUAUUAUG
This is a long non-coding RNA of Alosa sapidissima (American shad), 278 nucleotides long. RefSeq lists it as uncharacterized. The transcript is spliced from 3 exons. Lineage: Eukaryota; Metazoa; Chordata; Actinopteri; Clupeiformes; Clupeidae. The record is from RefSeq and is a predicted model, not a curated record.